RNAcentral lists this ribosomal RNA (497 nucleotides) under uncultured bacterium. RNAcentral describes it as "partial 16S ribosomal RNA". It matches the Rfam family "Bacterial small subunit ribosomal RNA", at positions 28 to 506 of the family's 1533-position model. The record is from RNAcentral.
GAUGAACGCUGGCGGCGUGCCUAAUACAUGCAAGUCGAGCGAACAGACGAGGAGCUUGCUCCUCUGACGUUAGCGGCGGACGGGUGAGUAACACGUGGAUAACCUACCUAUAAGACUGGGAUAACUUCGGGAAACCGGAGCUAAUACCGGAUAAUAUAUUGAACCGCAUGGUUCAAUAGUGAAAGACGGUUUUGCUGUCACUUAUAGAUGGAUCCGCGCCGCAUUAGCUAGUUGGUAAGGUAACGGCUUACCAAGGCAACGAUGCGUAGCCGACCUGAGAGGGAUGUCCGCCCCAACGGGACUGAGACACGGUGCCAACCCCGCACGGAAGGCAGCAGUGGGAAAUCUGCCCCAAUGGGGGAAAGCCUGAAGGGGCAACCCCGGGGGAGUAAUGAAGGUUUGUGGUUCGUAAAACUCUUUUAUUAGGGAAAAAAAAAGGUGUAAGUAACUUUGCGCGUCUGAGCGGUCCCUAAGCAGAAAGCCAGGGCAAACUACGU